RNAcentral lists this ribosomal RNA (488 nucleotides) under Pseudocercospora vitis. RNAcentral's name for it is "eukaryotic LSU rRNA". The stretch from base 161 to 314 matches the Rfam family "5.8S ribosomal RNA". Lineage: Eukaryota; Fungi; Ascomycota; Dothideomycetes; Mycosphaerellales; Mycosphaerellaceae. The record is from RNAcentral.
AGGGAUCAUUACUGAGUGAGGGCUCGCGCCCGACCUCCAACCCUUUGUGAACCAAAUCCUGUUGCUUCGGGGGCGACCCUGCCGGCACACCGUCGCCGGGCGCCCCCGGAGGUCUUCAAACACUGCAUCUUUGCGUCGGAGUUUAAAUCAAAUUAAACAAAACUUUCAACAACGGAUCUCUUGGUUCUGGCAUCGAUGAAGAACGCAGCGAAAUGCGAUAAGUAAUGUGAAUUGCAGAAUUCAGUGAAUCAUCGAAUCUUUGAACGCACAUUGCGCCCUUUGGUAUUCCGAAGGGCAUGCCUGUUCGAGCGUCAUUUCACCACUCAAGCCUAGCUUGGUAUUGGGCGUCGCGGCUCCGCGCGCCUUAAAGUCUCCGGCUGAGCUGUCCGUCUCUAAGCGUUGUGGAAAUUCAACUAUUCGCUUCGGAGUGCGGGCGGCCGCGGCCGUUAAAUCUUUAUUCAAGGUUGACCUCGGAUCAGGUAGGGAUA